Long non-coding RNA from Ochotona princeps (American pika), 612 nucleotides. RefSeq lists it as uncharacterized. The transcript is spliced from 4 exons. The record is from RefSeq and is a predicted model, not a curated record. Lineage: Eukaryota; Metazoa; Chordata; Mammalia; Lagomorpha; Ochotonidae.
GCUGCUCCAUUUCCCAUCCAGCCCCUGCUAAUGACCUGGGAAGAGCCACGCAAGAUAGCCCAAGUGCUUGCACCCCUACUGGGACCUACCUGGGACACCCGCAUAAGGUUCCUGGUUCCAGACUUUGGCAUGGCCCAGUCCUGGCUGCUUCAGUCAUCUGAAACAGAUGUAUCAUCUCUUCCACUCUUUGGCUUGGGUGUGAAUAAAAGGAUGAAACAAAAGAGUAGGGCGACCUGUUAAUGACAACAAGCCCAAAGCAUGACUGGAGAACUAUGUGGCCUAAAAAAGUAGCAAGCUGAAUUUAUUUGAAGAAAUUGUUUAAAGCCAUCUCCAAGCUUUCAGUUUGUUAAUAGUGAAGACAUAACCUCAAACUUCAUCAACUCCAGCAUUCCAUUGCUGCUUUGGAUGAAUUAUAAUGCCUGGAUUACAGAGAGGAUGGCGAGUGCUGCCAAGGGAAGGCACAGGCCCAGGCGCAGGGUCUGGAGGCCAACACAGAGACUCUGACAAGAUACUUUAUCCAUCUGAGCAAGUGCGGGCAUUCAUCGUGACAGACUAAUUGCUCGCUUCGAGUUAGAUAUUGUUCCAGCUAUCUAUGCACCCAAUGUGGCUAUC